Molecule: ribosomal RNA, 586 nt
Filed under: uncultured bacterium
Lineage: Bacteria
Description: bacterial SSU rRNA
Rfam family: Bacterial small subunit ribosomal RNA
Source: RNAcentral
UCCUACGGGAGGCAGCAGUGGGGAAUUUUGGACAAUGGGCGCAAGCCUGAUCCAGCAAUGCCGCGUGAGUGAAGAAGGCCUUCGGGUUGUAAAGCUCUUUUGUCAGGGAAGAAACGGCUGAGGUUAAUACCUUCGGCUAAUGACGGUACCUGAAGAAUAAGCACCGGCUAACUACGUGCCAGCAGCCGCGGUAAUACGUAGGGUGCAAGCGUUAAUCGGAAUUACUGGGCGUAAAGCGUGCGCAGGCGGUUUUGUAAGUCUGACGUGAAAGCCCCGGGCUCAGCCUGGGAAUUGCGUUGGAGACUGCAAGGCUUGAAUCUGGCAGAGGGGGGUAGAAUUCCACGUGUAGCAGUGAAAUGCGUAGAGAUGUGGAGGAACACCGAUGGCGAAGGCAGCCCCCUGGGUCAAGAUUGACGCUCAUGCACGAAAGCGUGGGGAGCAAACAGGAUUAGAUACCCUGGUAGUCCACGCCCUAAACGAUGUCUACUAGUUGUCGGGUCUUAAUUGACUUGGUAACGCAGCUAACGCGUGAAGUAGACCGCCUGGGGAGUACGGUCGCAAGAUUAAAACUCAAAGGAAUUGACGG